GAUGAACGCUAGCGGCAGGCUUAAUACAUGCAAGUCGAACGGUAAGUGUAGUAGCAAUAUUAUACGAGAGUGACGUACGGGUGCGUAACACGUAUGCAACCUACCUUGUACAGGAGGAUAGCUCGGGGAAACUCGAAUUAACCCUCCAUGAGAUCACAGUGUGGCAUCACAUAGUGAUUAAAACUCAGGUGGUACAAGAUGGGCAUGCGUCUGANAGUUUAGUUGGCGGGGUAACGGCCCACCAAGACGAUGAUCAGUAGGGGACCGUGAGAGGGUGGAUCCCCCACCACU
RNAcentral lists this ribosomal RNA (291 nucleotides) under uncultured bacterium. RNAcentral's name for it is "partial 16S ribosomal RNA". It matches the Rfam family "Bacterial small subunit ribosomal RNA", at positions 28 to 315 of the family's 1533-position model. The record is from RNAcentral.